This 816-nucleotide ribosomal RNA is filed under the name uncultured marine archaeon. RNAcentral's name for it is "bacterial SSU rRNA". It matches the Rfam family "Archaeal small subunit ribosomal RNA", at positions 23 to 844 of the family's 1478-position model. The record is from RNAcentral.
CUGACUGCUAUCGGAUUGAUACUAAGCCAUGCGAGUCAUUGUAGUAAUACAAGGCAGACGGCUCAGUAACGCGUAGUCAACCUAACCUAUGGACGGGAAUAACCUCGGGAAACUGAGUAUAAUGCCCGAUAGAACAUUAUGCCUGGAAUGGUUUAUGUUCCAAAUGAUUUAUCGCCGUAGGAUGGGACUGCGGCCUAUCAGUUUGUUGGUGAGGUAAUGGCCCACCAAGACUAUUACAGGUACGGGCUCUGAGAGGAGUAGCCCGGAGAUGGGUACUGAGACACGGACCCAGGCCCUAUGGGGCGCAGCAGGCGAGAAAACUUUGCAAUGUGCGAAAGCACGACAAGGUUAAUCCGAGUGGUUUCUGCUAAAGGAACCUUUUGUCGGUCCUAGAAACACCGAUGAAUAAGGGGUGGGCAAGUUCUGGUGUCAGCCGCCGCGGUAAAACCAGCACCUCAAGUGGUCAGGAUGAUUAUUGGGCCUAAAGCAUCCGUAGCCGGCUCUAUAAGUUUUCGGUUAAAUCUGUACGCUCAACGUACAGGCUGCCGGGAAUACUGCAGAGCUAGGGAGUGGGAGAGGUAGACGGUACUCGGUAGGAAGGGGUAAAAUCCUUUGAUCUAUUGAUGACCACCUGUGGCGAAGGCGGUCUACCAGAACACGUCCGACGGUGAGGGAAUGAAAGCUGGGGGAGCAAACCGGAUUAGAUACCCGGGUAGUCCCAGCUGUAAACUAUGCAAACUCAGUGAUGCAUUGGCUUGUGGCUAAUGCAGUGCUGCAGGGAAGCCGUUAAGUUUGCCGCCUGGGAAGUACGUACGC